UUGACCUCGGAUCAGGUAGGGAUACCCGCUGAACUUAAGCAUAUCAAUAAGCGGAGGAAAAGAAACCAACAGGGAUUACCUCAGUAACGGCGAGUGAAGCGGUAACAGCUCAAAUUUGAAAUCUGGCUCUUUUAGGGCCCGAGUUGUAAUUUGUAGAAGAUGCUUUGGGUGUGGCUCCAGUCUAAGUUCCUUGGAACAGGACGUCAUAGAGGGUGAGAAUCCCGUAUGUGACUGGUGGCUUUCGCCCGUGUAAAGCUCUUUCGACGAGUCGAGUUGUUUGGGAAUGCAGCUCAAAAUGGGUGGUAAAUUUCAUCUAAAGCUAAAUAUUGGCCAGAGACCGAUAGCGCACAAGUAGAGUGAUCGAAAGAUGAAAAGCACUUUGGAAAGAGAGUUAAACAGUACGUGAAAUUGUUGAAAGGGAAGCGCUUGCAACCAGACUCGUAUGCUGCUGAUCAUCCGGGGUUCUCCUCGGUGCACUCGGCAGUCUUCGGGCCAGCAUCGGUUUGGGUGGUAGGAUAAAGACCUUAGGAAUGUAGCUUCUCUCGGGGAGUGUUAUAGCCUUCGGUGCAAUGCUGCCUGCCUAGACCGAGGACCGCGCUUCGGCUAGGAUGC
RNAcentral lists this ribosomal RNA (612 nucleotides) under vouchered mycorrhizae (Ascomycota). RNAcentral describes it as "eukaryotic LSU rRNA". It matches the Rfam family "Eukaryotic large subunit ribosomal RNA", at positions 1 to 626 of the family's 3401-position model. Lineage: Eukaryota; Fungi; Ascomycota. The record is from RNAcentral.